GGCUCCUGGUGGCCGGGAUCUACGUCAGCGGCCGCCCCACGUGCGGCGCCACACUCUUCUUCAUCCAGCGGAGGCCGCCCCGCUGGCCCGCCAUGAAAUUCCGGAGCCGCGGCCGCCGCAGCUCCUACGCCGAGGUGGAGGCGGCCAGCCAGGAGAAAGAGGGAAUUGUGGAGGCCGAGCAGUGCUGAGCGCUUCUCCCGAGGAAUCCCUCCCGAGGGAUCCAUCCCGAGGAAUCCUGAUAAUCCUUCCCAAGGAAUCCAUCCUGAGGAAUCCAUCCUGAGGAAUCCAUCCUGAGGAAUCCGUCCUGAGGAAUCCUGAUAAUCCAUCCCGAGGGAUCCAUCCCGAGGAAUCCAUCCCGAGGAAUCCAUCCCGAGGAAUCCUGAUAAUCCAUCCUGAGGAAUCCAUCCUGAGGAAUCCGUCCUGAGGAAUCCUGAUAAUCCAUCCUGAGGAAUCCAUCCUGAGGAAUCCUGAUAAUCCUUCCCGAGGGAUCCAUCCCGAGGAAUCCUGAUAAUCCUUCCCGAGGAAUCCCUCCCGAGGGAUCCAUCCCGAGGAAUCCAUCCCGAGGAAUCCUGAUAAUCCUUCCCGAGGAAUCCAUCCUGAGGAAUCCGUCCUGAGGAAUCCAUCCUGAGGAAUCCUGAUAGUCCUUCCCGAGGAAUCCAUCCUGAGGAAUCCGUCCCGAGGGAUCCAUCCUGAGGAAUCCUGAUAAUCCUUCCCGAGGAAUCCAUCCUGAGGAAUCCGUCCCGAGGGAUCCAUCCUGAGGAAUCCUGAUAAUCCUUCCCGAGGAAUCCAUCCUGAGGAAUCUGUCCUGAGGAAUCCUGAUAAUUCAUCCCGAGGGAUCCAUCCCGAGGAAUCCAUCCCAAGGAAUCCUAAUAAUCCAUCCCGAGGAAUCCAUCCUGAGGAAUCCAUCCCAAGGAAUCCCAAGGAAUCCAUCCCAAGGAAUCCAUCCCAAGGAAUCCUGACAAUCCAUCCCAAGGAAUCCAUCCUGAGGAAUCCCAAGGAAUCCGCCCCGAGGAAUCCAGAGGAAUCCAUCCCAAGGAAUCCUGAUAAUCCUUCCCGAGGAAUCCAUCCCAAGGAAUUCGUCCUAAGGAAUCCACCUGAAGGAAUUCAUCCCAUGGAAUCCAUCCUGAGGAAUCCAUCCCGAGGAAUCCUGACAAUCCAUCCUGAGGAAUCCAUCUUGAGGAAUCCCAAGGAAUCCAUCCUGAGAAAUCCAUCCUGAGGGAUCCAUCCCAUGGAAUCUAUCCCGAGGAAUCCUGACAAUCCAUCCCAAGGAAUCCAUCCCAAGGAAUCCAUCCCGAGGAAUCCAUCCCAUGGAAUCCAACCUGAGGAAUCCAUCCUGAGGAAUCCCAGGGAAUCCAUCCUGAGGAAUCCAUCCCAUGGAAUCCAUCCCGAGGAAUGCUGACAAUCCAUCCCAAGGAAUCCAUCCUGAGGAAUCCAGAGGAAUCCAUCCCAAGGAAUCCAUCCCAUGGAAUCCAUCCUGAGGAAUCCAUCCCGAGGAAUCCAUCCUGAGGAAUCCUGACAAUCCAUCCCGAGGAAUCCAUCCCAUGGAAUCCAUCCCAUGGAAUCCAUCCUGAGGAAUCCAUCCCAUGGAAUCCAUCCCGAGGAAUGCUGACAAUCCAUCCCAAGGAAUCCAACCUGAGGAAUCCAUCCCGAGGAAUCCAUCCCGAGGAAUCCUGAUAAUCCAUCCUGAGGAAUCCAUCCUGAGGAAUCCAUCCCAUGGAAUCCAUCCCGAGGAAUCCUGACAAUCCAUCCCAUGGAAUCCAUCCUGAGGAAUCCAUCCCGAGGAAUCCAUCCCAAAAAUACUCCAGCUGAGCUGCGAUCAUGCCCCAAAUUUGGAAGUUUUAUUCCCAAAUCCCUAAAAAUUGGGUAUUUUCCCCCAAAGUGGGGAGGAAAAAAAGGAAGAAUUUAUCUCCCAAAUUUGAUCUCCUUUGUCGUGGUGAUGGAUUAAUGAGGGAUUUUCUCUGGAAUUCACUUUUUUCCAAUGGUGAAAUUUGGAAUUAUUAAUUUAAAUUAUUUCGGGGUUGAUUUUUCCUGGGUUUUUUGGGGUUUUUUGCAAGAUUUUGAGU
Molecule: long non-coding RNA, 2063 nt
Organism: Lonchura striata (white-rumped munia)
Lineage: Eukaryota; Metazoa; Chordata; Aves; Passeriformes; Estrildidae
Source: Ensembl